This 212-nucleotide ribosomal RNA is filed under the name uncultured bacterium. RNAcentral's name for it is "partial 16S ribosomal RNA". It matches the Rfam family "Bacterial small subunit ribosomal RNA", at positions 1281 to 1500 of the family's 1533-position model. The record is from RNAcentral.
GUACGUCUCAGUUCGGAUUGGAGUCUGCAACUCGACUCCAUGAAGCUGGAUUCGCUAGUAAUCGCGCAUCAGCCAUGGCGCGGUGAAUACGUUCCCGGGCCUUGUACACACCGCCCGUCAAGCCAUGGAAGCCGGGGGUGCCUGAAGUGCGUGACCGCAAGGAGCGCCCUAAGGUAAAACCGGUGACUGGGGCUAAGUCGUAACAAGGUAGC